Molecule: long non-coding RNA, 260 nt
Organism: Saccostrea cuccullata (small rock oyster)
Lineage: Eukaryota; Metazoa; Mollusca; Bivalvia; Ostreida; Ostreidae
Exons: 3
Source: RefSeq, a predicted model, not a curated record
CUGAGACAGUCACAUAUUCAACUUGUUAUUUUGACCUCAGGGACACACUUGCCUGGAGUAUUGUUUGUCAUCAAGGCAUCCUCAUAAACCAGUUCAUCCCGACUACACACUGCUGUUGACUGAGGUGUGCUGUCAUCGUUAAAGUCACUCUGUUCCAAGACUUGCCAGGAAUAGUGUUUGAACCACUUUAUCCUGACUACACACAGUGCUGUUGACUGAGGUGUGCUGUCAUCGUUAAAGUCACUCUGUUCCAAGGUUUG